UGUGAGAAUUUUUUUUUUCAUGACAAAUUUCAUUAAAAUUUUAAAAAUAAAUCCAGACAUAAUUACAUCAAAGAAAUUAAGUAAAUAAAAGAGAUUCAAAUACAAAGGAAAAGAAAAAUAAAUAUAGUCCAAAUAUUUGAAAUCUUAAAAAUUCGAGAUUGCUACUGUCAGAGUCGCUCCUCCAUUGAAACUUCCAGCCACUUGAGUUUCUACAACGCCUUAAAGUUGAAGAAGAUGAAAUCUCACUGUAAUAUCCUAUAUAAGACCUAAAAAGUUUACUGAAGCACUAAUGAAGGAAAGGAAGAACCUAUCAAAGCUCAAACAAACCACCGCAGCAGAGAAAGAAGAGGAGAAGAUGAAGGAAAAAGCACAUGCAAACCAUUGAGGAUCUUCAGCCAAACAUCUCAAGGCUGAGGAGACUUCAAACAGACCUAGAAAGACAGAUGAUGAUGAUGUGCACUGAGGCAACCCAUUCACACUUUCACAGUGAGCCAUUUUCGAACCAAUCUUCGGCGAACAAUAACCCAAAUGUAGCUACAAAACCUAUUCAGCCUCAACCUCUAAAGGAAAAUGAAACCUCCAAACACAAUAUGAAAGGAAAAACAUAAUAAAGUUGCAGCCAUAAAGCCAAAGUCCUCAACAAUAAAGUUAUGCUGUAAAAUACCAACUAAACAAAAACAAAUAUAUACACCCCAUUCGGAGGGGAGAGGAAAAUCCGCAACCCGGCCGAAGAAGAGGAGAGCCUUCCCUGCUCAAGAAAGAUAGGGGAAGCCAGUGGUCAACACCGAUGAAGACGAGCUCCUCAAAAAGAAAAGAAGAAAAACAAGAAGAUUUUCUCUCUCUAAUUUGAAUUAAAAAGACAACUUGCAAGGUAGGAGUUAAGAGAAAUAGCUGUAAGCACUAACCAAUUCAAAUAAUACACACUGUAUCACUUGAU
RNAcentral lists this long non-coding RNA (937 nucleotides) under Manihot esculenta (cassava). RNAcentral describes it as "long non-coding RNA (MESC_LNC006325)". The record is from RNAcentral. Lineage: Eukaryota; Viridiplantae; Streptophyta; Magnoliopsida; Malpighiales; Euphorbiaceae.